UACGUAGGUGGCAAGCGUUGUCCGGAUUUACUGGGCGUAAAGAGCGCGCAGGCGGUCGUGCAAGUCGCGUGUGAAAGCCCCCGGCUCAACUGGGGAGGGUCACGCGAUACUGUUCGACUCGAAGGCGGGAGAGGGAAGCGGAAUUCCCGGUGUAGUGGUGAAAUGCGUAGAUAUCGGGAGGAACACCAGUGGCGAAGGCGGCUUCCUGGCCUGUUCUUGACGCUGAGGCGCGAAAGCUAGGGUAGCAAACGGG
RNAcentral lists this ribosomal RNA (253 nucleotides) under uncultured bacterium. RNAcentral describes it as "partial 16S ribosomal RNA". It matches the Rfam family "Bacterial small subunit ribosomal RNA", at positions 524 to 776 of the family's 1533-position model. The record is from RNAcentral.